UGAAAGAAAACAAGGGGAGGCAGGGAAGAAGGUGAACGCAUUUCCAGUUGGUGGCGGCGCAAAUAUGAACGUCGUGGCAGGAGAAGCUGUGGCAGGGAGGAGAGAUGGCGUGUUAGGUUUUUUUUCCUUCUGUUUUCAGGGAGGAGAGAAGGCGUGCGUUAGGUUUUUUUCUUUGCUUUUCAUCUGUUUGCAGAGGAGGAUCGUGUUGAUUAUUCCCUAUUUUUUAGGAGAGUUAGUUUCCUAAUUUAUCUGAUUCUCUGUUGUAUAUAAAUUUGCACAACCUCAUUGUGAUAAUUCUACUGUUAGUCAAUCAUGGAUA
RNAcentral lists this long non-coding RNA (319 nucleotides) under Trifolium pratense (red clover). RNAcentral describes it as "long non-coding RNA (TPRA_LNC006071)". The record is from RNAcentral. Lineage: Eukaryota; Viridiplantae; Streptophyta; Magnoliopsida; Fabales; Fabaceae.